GCCGUUUUUAGUUGGUGGAGUGGUCUGUCAGGUUGAUUCCGGUAACGAACGAGACUCCAACCUGCUAAAUAGAAAAGGCGGGGGUCGCGCCGAGCCGGCGGUCCAACCCUGUUCGCGUGGCCCUGUCGGGUGUCUUUCUCUUCCUUCUUCUCGGMGCCCUCUUCCGUUCGGCCUCUCUUUCGGGGGUGGCCGCGACGGUUGCAGGUGUCGUCGGGGGUCGGGGAGGCCCCUUCAACGUGCCCGUAGCGGGUCGCCGUCCGCGUCUCGGCCGUGCCCUCGCACCUCUUCUUAGAGGGAUAGUCGAGAGAGAAAACUCGAAUGAAAGGUGGAGCAAUAACAGGUCUGUGAUGCCCUCAGAUGUCCUGGGCCGCACGCGCGCUACAAUGGGCGCAUCAGCGAGUGUCCUGCCCGAAAGGGUCGGGUAACCCGUUGAAACGCGUUCGUAGUUGGGAUCGGGGAUUGCAAUUAUUCCCCGUGAACCCGGAAUUCCCAGUAGGCGCCGGUCAUCAGCCGGCGCCGAUUAAGUCCCUGCCUCUUGUACACACCGCCCGUCGCUACUACCGAUUGAACGGUCUAGUGAGGUCUUCCGACCGUCGCCCGCUCGCCACUGUGCAGGCGUAGGAGCGGCGGAAAGUUGCCCGAACUUGGUCGUUUAGAGGAAGUAAAAGUCGUAACAAGGUUUCCGUAGGUGAACCGUCGGAAGGAUCA
RNAcentral lists this ribosomal RNA (708 nucleotides) under Lightiella incisa. RNAcentral's name for it is "bacterial SSU rRNA". It matches the Rfam family "Eukaryotic small subunit ribosomal RNA". Lineage: Eukaryota; Metazoa; Arthropoda; Cephalocarida; Brachypoda; Hutchinsoniellidae. The record is from RNAcentral.